GAAACAAAUAAACUAAUUGAUGUCUAAGGUAAGUGGCUAAUAGGAGCUUUUAAUUGAGACUGUUCUCUUUCUUGGCCAACUACGUUGGUAUUUAACUAAAGAACGAAAUGAGAACCCUCCCACCUAUCUCCACUUAUCAGGCCAAUGUGGUUGAUCUGAUUUUGAUUGGAUUACUUAAUGACUUGAGUUCACCUAUGCUAUCUAGAUAAAUCAGUUUUGACUGAUUUAGAUGCCCCUGGAUCGGCUUGUCUCUAGACUUUUCAUGACUUGAUGAAUUCAGUGAGAGAAUUUAUGACUUAUCGAUUAGACCAGCUUGUCUCUAGUCUUCUUCAUGAUUUAAUGAAGACAGUGAGAGGAUUUAUGACUUGCAGGUCUA
Molecule: long non-coding RNA, 376 nt
Filed under: Elaeis guineensis (African oil palm)
Lineage: Eukaryota; Viridiplantae; Streptophyta; Magnoliopsida; Arecales; Arecaceae
Description: long non-coding RNA (EGUI_LNC031148)
Source: RNAcentral